GACGAACGCUGGCGGCGUGCUUAACACAUGCAAGUCGAACGGAAAGGCCUCUUUCGGGGGGUACUCGAGUGGCGAACGGGUGAGUAACACGUGAGUAACCUGCCCUUGACUUUGGGAUAACUUCGGGAAACUGGGGCUAAUACCGGAUAGGAGCUCCUGCUGCAUGGUGGGGGUUGGAAAGUUUCGGCGGUUGGGGAUGGACUCGCGGCUUAUCAGCUUGUUGGUGGGGUAGUGGCUUACCAAGGCUUUGACGGGUAGCCGGCCUGAGAGGGUGACCGGCCACAUUGGGACUGAGAUACGGCCCAGACUCCUACGGGAGGCAGCAGUGGGGAAUAUUGCACAAUGGGUGGAAGCCUGAUGCAGCAACGCCGUGUGCGGGAGGACGGCCUUCGGGUUGUAAACCGCUUUCGCUCAUGACGAAGCUUUGUGUGACGGUAGUGGGUAAAGAAGCACCGGCUAACUACGUG
This 467-nucleotide ribosomal RNA is filed under the name uncultured bacterium. Its description in RNAcentral is "partial 16S ribosomal RNA". It matches the Rfam family "Bacterial small subunit ribosomal RNA", at positions 28 to 507 of the family's 1533-position model. The record is from RNAcentral.